UACGUAGGGUGCAAGCGUUGUCCGGAAUUAUUGGGCGUAAAGAGCUCGUAGGCGGUUCGUCGCGUCGGCUGUGAAAUCCCGAGGCUCAACCUCGGGUCUGCAGUCGAUACGGGCGGACUGGAGUUCGGCAGGGGAGACUGGAAUUCCUGGUGUAGCGGUGACAUGCAUUGAUAUCAGGAGGAACACCCAUGGCGAAGGCAGGUUACUGGCCGACAACUGACGCUGAGGCGCGAAAGCGUGGGUAGCAAACAGA
RNAcentral lists this ribosomal RNA (253 nucleotides) under uncultured bacterium. RNAcentral's name for it is "partial 16S ribosomal RNA". It matches the Rfam family "Bacterial small subunit ribosomal RNA", at positions 524 to 776 of the family's 1533-position model. The record is from RNAcentral.